GAUAAUGAAUUCAAUCAUUCCUGUUAUCAAAAUAGUAAUCAUUAACAAUUAAUAUUUAUAUUAAGAAAUAUUGAAUACCGGGUUUGAUGGAAGCUUGCUUGUGGAGCUUCUAUGGAGGCUGGAUCUUUGAAUUUUAAUGAGGUCCUUUAAUGAUGAUUUUCCACUAUGAAGAUGCAGCGGAAGACAAAUGAGAAGAGGUAAGAGGCGGCGUCAUCCAUUAGGGAAUAAGCCAUGGAAGAAAGAGUUUCAUCACCAAGAUGAGUCUUGGAUAAGAAGCUUGGAGAGGAUGCUUCAAUGGAGGAAAAGAAAGAGGGAGAGAAAGAGAGAGAGGGAAACACGAAAUUAAAGAAAGGAAAAGGGAGAGAAGUUGAACUUUGAGUUGUGUCUCAC
This 390-nucleotide long non-coding RNA is filed under the name Glycine max (soybean). Its description in RNAcentral is "long non-coding RNA (GMAX_LNC001956)". Lineage: Eukaryota; Viridiplantae; Streptophyta; Magnoliopsida; Fabales; Fabaceae. The record is from RNAcentral.